Molecule: transfer RNA, 72 nt
Filed under: Phrynosoma platyrhinos (Desert horned lizard)
Lineage: Eukaryota; Metazoa; Chordata; Lepidosauria; Squamata; Phrynosomatidae
Description: tRNA-OTHER
Source: RNAcentral
AGUAGCAUGGCUUAGUGGUUUGAGUGUUGGACAAUGACUCUGGAGACCAGGGUUCGAAUCCCAGUUCGGUCA